AGGGCGCACGGUGGAUGCCUUGACACUAGGAGUCGAUGAAGGACGGGACUAACGCCGAUAUGCUUCGGGGAGCUGUAAGUAAGCUUUGAUCCGAAGAUUUCCGAAUGGGGAAACCCACCAUACGUAAUGGUAUGGUAUCCUUAUCUGAAUACAUAGGGUAAGGAAGACAGACCCAGGGAACUGAAACAUCUAAGUACCUGGAGGAAGAGAAAGCAAAUGCGAUUUCCUGAGUAGCGGCGAGCGAAACGGAACAUAGCCCAAACCAAGAGGCUUGCCUCUUGGGGUUGUAGGACAUUCUAUACGGAGUUACAAAGGAACGAGGUAGACGAAGCGACCUGGAAAGGUCCGUCGUAGAGGGUAACAACCCCGUAGUCGAAACUUCGUUCUCUCUUGAAUGUAUCCUGAGUACGGCGGAACACGUGAAAUUCCGUCGGAAUCUGGGAGGACCAUCUCCCAAGGCUAAAUACUCCCUAGUGAUCGAUAGUGAACCAGUACCGUGAGGGAAAGGUGAAAAGCACCCCGGAAGGGGAGUGAAAGAGAUCCUGAAACCGUGUGCCUACAAAUAGUCAGAGCCCGUUAACGGGUGAUGGCGUGCCUUUUGUAGAAUGAACCGGCGAGUUACGAUCCCGUGCGAGGUUAAGCUGAAGAGGCGGAGCCGCAGCGAAAGCGAGUCUGAAUAGGGCGUUUAGUACGUGGUCGUAGACCCGAAACCAGGUGAUCUACCCAUGUCCAGGGUGAAGUUCAGGUAACACUGAAUGGAGGCCCGAACCCACGCACGUUGAAAAGUGCGGGGAUGAGGUGUGGGUAGCGGAGAAAUUCCAAUCGAACCUGGAGAUAGCUGGUUCUCCCCGAAAUAGCUUUAGGGCUAGCCUUAAGUGUAAGAGUCUUGGAGGUAGAGCACUGAUUGGACUAGGGGUCCUCAUCGGAUUACCGAAUUCAGUCAAACUCCGAAUGCCAAUGACUUAUCCUUAGGAGUCAGACUGCGAGUGAUAAGAUCCGUAGUCAAAAGGGAAACAGCCCAGACCGCCAGCUAAGGUCCCAAAGUGUGUAUUAAGUGGAAAAGGAUGUGGAGUUGCUUAGACAACUAGGAUGUUGGCUUAGAAGCAGCCACCAUUUAAAGAGUGCGUAAUAGCUCACUAGUCGAGUGACUCUGCGCCGAAAAUGUACCGGGGCUAAAUACACCACCGAAGCUGCGGAUUGAUACCGAAUGGUAUCAGUGGUAGGGGAGCGUUCUAAGGACAGUGAAGUCAGACCGUAAGGACUGGUGGAGUGCUUAGAAGUGAGAAUGCCGGUAUGAGUAGCGAAAGACGGGUGAGAAUCCCGUCCACCGAAUGCCUAAGGUUUCCUGAGGAAGGCUCGUCCGCUCAGGGUUAGUCAGGACCUAAGCCGAGGCCGACAGGCGUAGGCGAUGGACAACAGGUUGAUAUUCCUGUACCACCUCUUUAUCGUUUGAGCAAUGGAGGGACGCAGAAGGAUAGAAGAAGCGUGCGAUUGGUUGUGCACGUCCAAGCAGUUAGGCUGAUAAGUAGGCAAAUCCGCUUAUCAUAAAGGCUGAGCUGUGAUGGGGAAGCUCCUUAUGGAGCGAAGUCUUUGAUUCCCCGCUGCCAAGAAAAGCUUCUAGCGAGAUAAAAGGUGCCUGUACCGCAAACCGACACAGGUAGGCGAGGAGAGAAUCCUAAGGUGUGCGAGAGAACUCUGGUUAAGGAACUCGGCAAAAUGACCCCGUAACUUCGGGAGAAGGGGUGCUUUCUUAACGGAAAGCCGCAGUGAAUAGGCCCAAGCGACUGUUUAGCAAAAACACAGCUCUCUGCGAAGCCGUAAGGCGAAGUAUAGGGGGUGACACCUGCCCGGUGCUGGAAGGUUAAGGAGAGGGGUUAGCGUAAGCGAAGCUCUGAACUGAAGCCCCAGUAAACGGCGGCCGUAACUAUAACGGUCCUAAGGUAGCGAAAUUCCUUGUCGGGUAAGUUCCGACCCGCACGAAAGGUGUAACGAUUUGGGCACUGUCUCAACCAGAGACUCGGUGAAAUUAUAGUACCUGUGAAGAUGCAGGUUACCCGCGACAGGACGGAAAGACCCCGUGGAGCUUUACUGUAGCCUGAUAUUGAAUUUUGGUACAGUUUGUACAGGAUAGGCGGGAGCCAUUGAAACCGGAGCGCUAGCUUCGGUGGAGGCGCUGGUGGGAUACCGCCCUGACUGUAUUGAAAUUCUAACCUACGGGUCUUAUCGACCCGGGAGACAGUGUCAGGUGGGCAGUUUGACUGGGGCGGUCGCCUCCUAAAGUGUAACGGAGGCGCCCAAAGGUUCCCUCAGAAUGGUUGGAAAUCAUUCGUAGAGUGCAAAGGCAUAAGGGAGCUUGACUGCGAGACCUACAAGUCGAGCAGGGACGAAAGUCGGGCUUAGUGAUCCGGUGGUUCCGCAUGGAAGGGCCAUCGCUCAACGGAUAAAAGCUACCCCGGGGAUAACAGGCUUAUCUCCCCCAAGAGUCCACAUCGACGGGGAGGUUUGGCACCUCGAUGUCGGCUCAUCGCAUCCUGGGGCUGUAGUCGGUCCCAAGGGUUGGGCUGUUCGCCCAUUAAAGCGGUACGCGAGCUGGGUUCAGAACGUCGUGAGACAGUUCGGUCCCUAUCCGUCGUGGGCGUAGGAAAUUUGAGAGGAGCUGUCCUUAGUACGAGAGGACCGGGAUGGACGCACCGCUGGUGUACCAGUUGUUCUGCCAAGGGCAUAGCUGGGUAGCUAUGUGCGGAAGGGAUAAGUGCUGAAAGCAUCUAAGCAUGAAGCCCCCCUCAAGAUGAGAUUUCCCAUAGCGUAAGCUAGU
RNAcentral lists this ribosomal RNA (2815 nucleotides) under Bacillus cereus. Its description in RNAcentral is "bacterial LSU rRNA". It matches the Rfam family "Bacterial large subunit ribosomal RNA". Lineage: Bacteria; Bacillati; Bacillota; Bacilli; Caryophanales; Bacillaceae. The record is from RNAcentral. RNAcentral also lists the same sequence under 1 other name.